AUAGGUUGUGAUUUGGUUGUUUUUUUAUUUCCAGGGAGAAGUGUUCAUGGUUUAUGAGUUUCGAUUUUUAGUGUGGGUGUAUGAUUUGGUUGUUUUUUAUUUCAGGAAACGUUGCCGUUCGAAUUUUAUGGUUUUUGUAUAGAAGUUUGCAGGCCCCUUCUGAUUAAGGAAGCAGUGGCCAUCGUUUUUGCCGCUUUUGUAUGUACGGUUCCAGAUGCUUGAGAUGAUGAAGAAUAAAAGAAAUUAAAUGC
Pyrus x bretschneideri (Chinese white pear) is the source of this 251-nucleotide long non-coding RNA. RefSeq lists it as uncharacterized. Lineage: Eukaryota; Viridiplantae; Streptophyta; Magnoliopsida; Rosales; Rosaceae. The transcript is spliced from 3 exons. The record is from RefSeq and is a predicted model, not a curated record.